GUGGGGAAUAUUGCGCAAUGGGGGAAACCCUGACGCAGCGACGCCGUGUGAGGGAAGAAGGCUUUCGGGUCGUAAACCUCUGUCAGGAAGGAAGAACCUCUCAAGGCUGAACAAGCCUUGGGACUGACGGUACUUCCAGAGGAAGCACCGGCUAACUCCGUGCCAGCAGCCGCGGUAAUACGGAGGGUGCAAGCGUUAAUCGGAAUCACUGGGCGUAAAGCGCGCGUAGGCCGUCUUUUAAGUCGGACGUGAAAGCCCUCGGCUCAACCGGGGAACUGCGUUCGAUACUGGGAGACUUGAGUCCUGGAGAGGGUGGCGGAAUUCCGGGUGUAGGAGUGAAAUCCGUAGAUAUCCGGAGGAACACCGGUGGCGAAAGCGGCCACCUGGACAGGUACUGACGCUGAGGCGCGAAAGCGUGGGGAGCAAACAGGAUUAGAAACCCGAGUAGUCC
RNAcentral lists this ribosomal RNA (451 nucleotides) under uncultured bacterium. RNAcentral describes it as "partial 16S ribosomal RNA". It matches the Rfam family "Bacterial small subunit ribosomal RNA", at positions 354 to 796 of the family's 1533-position model. The record is from RNAcentral.